RNAcentral lists this long non-coding RNA (220 nucleotides) under Volvox carteri. Its description in RNAcentral is "long non-coding RNA (VCAR_LNC002707)". The record is from RNAcentral. Lineage: Eukaryota; Viridiplantae; Chlorophyta; Chlorophyceae; Chlamydomonadales; Volvocaceae.
UUUGUGUGUGUGUGUGUGUGUGUGUGUGUGUGUGUGUGUGUGUGUGUGUGUGUGUGUGUGUGUGUGUGUGUGUGUGUGUGUGUGUGUGUGUGUAGCACUGCCGUGCAUCCCAGACGGCGCUCUGGGAACAGCUUGCUUUCUUGCUUAGUUGUGUGGGAGGCACGUGCAGUAGUUGUUGCGGGACCCUUGCAGCUACAUAGCCGCUGAGUGGCUACUCCAG